UACGUAGGGGGCAAGCGUUGUCCGGAUUUAUUGGGCGUAAAGAGCGUGUAGGCGGCCUGACAGGUCAGCUGUGAAAACUCGAGGCUCAACCUCGAGACGUCGGUUGAAACCAUCUGGCUAGAGUCCGGAAGAGGAGUGUGGAAUUCCCGGUGUAGCGGUGAAAUGCGCAGAUAUCGGGAAGAACACCCGUGGCGAAGGCGGCACUCUGGGACGGUACUGACACUGAGGAGCGAAAGCGUGGGGAGCGAACAGG
Molecule: ribosomal RNA, 253 nt
Filed under: uncultured bacterium
Lineage: Bacteria
Description: partial 16S ribosomal RNA
Rfam family: Bacterial small subunit ribosomal RNA
Source: RNAcentral